GACGAACGCUGGCGGCGUGCUUAACACAUGCAAGUCGAACGGAAAGGCCUCUUUCGGGGGGUACUCGAGUGGCGAACGGGUGAGUAACACGUGAGUAACCUGCCCUUGACUUUGGGAUAACUUCAGGAAACUGGGGCUAAUACCGGAUAGGAGCUCCUGCUGCACGGUGGGGGUUGGAAAGUUUCGGCGGUUGGGGAUGGACUCGCGGCUUAUCAGCUGGUUUGUGGGGUAGUGGCUUACCAAGGGUUUGUGGGGUAGCCGGCCCGGGGGGGGGCCGGGCACAUUGGGACUGGGAUACGGCCCAGACUCCUACGGGAGGCAGCAGGGGGGAAGAUUGCACAAUGGGUGGAAGCCUGAUGCAGCAACGCCGUGUGCGGGAUGACGGCCUUCGGGUUGGAAACCGCUUUCGCUCAUGACGAAGCUUUGUGUGACGGUAGUGGGUAAAGAAGCACCGGCUAACUACGUG
This 466-nucleotide ribosomal RNA is filed under the name uncultured bacterium. RNAcentral describes it as "partial 16S ribosomal RNA". It matches the Rfam family "Bacterial small subunit ribosomal RNA", at positions 28 to 507 of the family's 1533-position model. The record is from RNAcentral.